GGUCAUCGCAUUCAAAAGCUCUCAAAGAGGUUCUUUGGCCCUUUCAAGAUUAUCCGCCAAAUUGGAGAUGUUGCUUUGGAAUUGGAGUUACCUGCCUCUAACAAAAUUCAUCCGGUUUUCCAUGUGUCAAAGCUCAAGCUCAGUUACACCACUCCCUCCAACAUUUCUGCAUUACCUGUGGACACUGUGCACGCACAGGCACAGCCAGUGCUUCAACCUCUCGCUGUGCUUGACUGGAAGCGAGAUUCAGAAACUGCUUCACCAUUGGUUCUCAUUCAAUGGGAAGGGCUGUUUCCAGAGGAUGCCACUUGGGAACCUUACGACGACAUGCUUCGCGUGUAUCCAGACUUUCACCUUGAGGACAAGGUGCAUUUUGAAGGGGAAAGGAAUGUUAUGGGCCUAGAUGAGCCAAGGGAAGAAGAGUACAAAGGCCCAAUUCCUCACUUAAAGGCCAAG
This 456-nucleotide long non-coding RNA is filed under the name Trifolium pratense (red clover). Its description in RNAcentral is "long non-coding RNA (TPRA_LNC009239)". The record is from RNAcentral. Lineage: Eukaryota; Viridiplantae; Streptophyta; Magnoliopsida; Fabales; Fabaceae.